This is a long non-coding RNA of Mastomys coucha (southern multimammate mouse), 551 nucleotides long. RefSeq lists it as uncharacterized. The record is from RefSeq and is a predicted model, not a curated record. Lineage: Eukaryota; Metazoa; Chordata; Mammalia; Rodentia; Muridae. The transcript has 3 exons.
CCUGUGAUACUUGGAACAAUCAGGCUUGGGAAUGUCCAUCAGGGUCUUCUGGGAACCCACUAGUCCAAAUCCACCAUUAGAGAUGCUGCUAUCAAUCACCUGAGGUUUGGCCAGGAGAGGUUUCUAGAAAGCUCUGAAUUUUCAGAUGUGGAACCCCAGUCCCUGGGCUAACAGAAGAGAAGCCACAUGGAGGACCAGAGAAGAAGAAGGGCAUUGGACAACCGGCAGAAGAAAGAGAGUCUGCUUGAAUGCUGCCUCACUGGAGUAAUGGGCACCAAAUAUAGAGGGCAUGAGGAAAUGGUACAGAGAGGUGAAAGUAGAAUGAGCCAUCUGCAGGCUUAAUAGGCAGCCUGAAGACACAGCUCUGAUUUCUUAAUGAGAGUCAUUUUAAAGAUGCAGGGCAAUUUGCACCUAAUUCCUCAAGAACAGAAACACCUUCACUCUGUUCUGCAGCAUCACUCCAAAGACAAGUUGGAAGAGGGGGAGAGAAAGAGGAGGAAGAGGAGGAGGAGGAGGAAGAGGAAAAGGAGGAGGAGAAAGAGAAGGGGAAU